UGAGCAAAGAACUCUGCAUUUUUUUUACCAACAAAUUAUGCAACCAGUCAUGCUUGGAAAUAAAACUUUACACAUUUAAUUGAUAUAUGUGUGUGUGUGUGUGUAUACACACACAUAUACAUGUGUAUACAUAU
Molecule: small nucleolar RNA, 134 nt
Organism: Sciurus carolinensis (gray squirrel)
Lineage: Eukaryota; Metazoa; Chordata; Mammalia; Rodentia; Sciuridae
Product: small nucleolar RNA SNORA15
Exons: 1
Source: RefSeq, a predicted model, not a curated record